Penaeus vannamei (Pacific white shrimp) is the source of this 137-nucleotide non-coding RNA. The record is from RefSeq and is a predicted model, not a curated record. Lineage: Eukaryota; Metazoa; Arthropoda; Malacostraca; Decapoda; Penaeidae.
GUCCGAUAUCUCUCCGAUAUUUAGCACGAUGAAGGCGCUUUUGUUCUUGACCGUGGUAGCUGUGGCUAUUAGCCAGCCCAAUUGGGCGGAUCUGAGGUUUGGUGGCAGCGAGUACCACUUCUCCUGGCGCCACGACG